ACCUGGCGGCGAUAGCGCGGUGGUCCCACCUGACCCCAUGCCGAACUCAGAAGUGAAACGCCGUAGCGCCGAUGGUAGUGUGGGGCUUCCCCAUGUGAGAGUAGGGAACUGCCAGGUU
This 118-nucleotide ribosomal RNA is filed under the name Pectobacterium actinidiae. Lineage: Bacteria; Pseudomonadati; Pseudomonadota; Gammaproteobacteria; Enterobacterales; Pectobacteriaceae. The record is from RNAcentral.